AUUUGCUCAGGGAAAACGUUCACUGUACCGGAUACUCUUCGACGGAAACACAGCAAUUGUGGUGGCUUUUGGCGCAGUUUCAUUAUGAAGGCAGGUUUUUGCCCUCGCAAACAGCGGAUUAUUAUGGAAGAGCGGAAUGAUGAACACUAUGGCGGAGAGCAAUGGAGGCAAAGCUUUGGGAUGCUGGGGGCGUUGGGAUCCGUUGGCGUGUGAAUACAGGAAGCUAACUAACUGCGUUUUCGAGUAUUCUAUUUGGUAAGUACCCUUUUAGUUUUGUAUUGUUUCAGCCUUACAUGAAGUGAUUGUAUUUACUGUAUUAAUUAACACUAGCUAACCUAAUACUAAUGAUUAACCUACAUGUCCGACAUUUUCAUUGUCUUCCGAAAAUAAAUUUAUUUGAUAUUAACCUAUUUUUUUCAUUUUUUUUGGAGCAGGAACCACGAUGGACGGAGUAUUCUCGACAUCAACAUCGGGUGUAAAAUUUAGGCCACCGACUAAUAUUUUCUUUAUUUUUAGGUGAUGACGCGAUUUUCUCCCUCGACCUACUUUCAAUUGAUGACCACUAUGUGUGUUUUGUUUAUUCAUAGCUCUGGUUAGUGAGUACAAAAUGAACGGUCUUACUUGGUAUCGCUGGCCAGCCACGACGGUGUUCCAACGACGGAUGCGACGGUUUGAAGGAUG
Topomyia yanbarensis is the source of this 681-nucleotide long non-coding RNA. RefSeq lists it as uncharacterized. The transcript is spliced from 3 exons. The record is from RefSeq and is a predicted model, not a curated record. Lineage: Eukaryota; Metazoa; Arthropoda; Insecta; Diptera; Culicidae.